GACGGAGGGGGCUAGCGUUGUUCGGAAUCACUGGGCGUAAAGGGUGCGUAGGCGGAUUUUUAAGUCGGAGGUGAAAGCCUGGGGCUCAACCCCAGAAUUGCCCUCGAUACUGAGAGUCUUGAGUUCGGAAGAGGUUGGUGGAACUGCGAGUGCAGAGGUGAAAUUCGUAGAUAUUCGCAAGAACACCGGUGGCGAAGGCGGCCAACUGGUCCGAUACUGACGCUGAGGCACGAAAGCGUGGGGAGCAAACAGG
Molecule: ribosomal RNA, 253 nt
Filed under: uncultured bacterium
Lineage: Bacteria
Description: partial 16S ribosomal RNA
Rfam family: Bacterial small subunit ribosomal RNA
Source: RNAcentral